This 297-nucleotide signal recognition particle RNA is filed under the name Saimiri boliviensis boliviensis (Bolivian squirrel monkey). RNAcentral describes it as "Metazoan signal recognition particle RNA (ENSSBOG00000005614.1)". It matches the Rfam family "Metazoan signal recognition particle RNA". From Rfam's summary of the family: The signal recognition particle (SRP) is a universally conserved ribonucleoprotein. The record is from RNAcentral. Lineage: Eukaryota; Metazoa; Chordata; Mammalia; Primates; Cebidae.
GCCAGGCACGGUGGCAUAUGCCCGUAGUCCCAGCUACUUGGGAGGCUAAGGUGAGAGGAUUGCUUGAGCCCAAGAGUUCUGGGCUGUAGUGUGCUAUGCUGAUAGGGUGUCCGCACUACGUUUGGCAUCAAUAUGGUGACCUCCUGGGAGCAGAGGACCACCAGGUUGCUUAAGGAGGAAUGAACCAGCCCAGGUCAGAAACAGAGCAGGUCAAAACUCCCAUGCUGAUCAGCACUGGGAUCGCCUGUGAAAAGCCACUGCACCCCGGCCUGGGCAACAUGGCAAUACCCUGUCUCU